Molecule: ribosomal RNA, 493 nt
Filed under: uncultured bacterium
Lineage: Bacteria
Description: partial 16S ribosomal RNA
Rfam family: Bacterial small subunit ribosomal RNA
Source: RNAcentral
GAUAAACGCUGGCGGCGUGCAUAACACAUGCAAGUCGAACGAUGAAACUUAGAUGAUUUCUUCGGAAUGAACUUAAGUGGAUUAGUGGCGAACGGGUGAGUAACACGUGAGUAACCUGCCUUACACAAGGGGAUAGCCUCUGGAAACGGAGAAUAAUACCCUAUAAAGUCUAAUCAGCACAUGCUGGAAAGACCAAAGAUUUAUCGGUGUAAGAUGGACUUGCGUCUGAUUAGCUAGUUGGUGAGAUAAAAGCUCACCAAGGCGACGAUCAGUAGCCGGCUUGAGAGAGUGUACGGCCACAUUGGGACUGAGACACGGCCCAAACUCCUACGGGAGGCAGCAGUGGGGAAUUUUGCACAAUGGGGGAAACCCUGAUGCAGCGACGCCGCGUGAUUUAGAAGGCCUUCGGGUUGUAAAAAUCUUUUUUACGGGAUGAAAAUGACAGUACCGUAAGAAUAAGGUCCGGCUAAAUACGUGCCAGCCGCCGCGGUAA